GAGGAAUAUUGGACAAUGGGCGCAAGCCUGAUCCAGCCAUGCCGCGUGCAGGAAGACGCCUCUAUGGUGUGUAAACUGCUUUUGUACGGGAAGAAACACUCCCUCGUGAGGGAGCUUGACGGUACCGUAAGAAUAAGGAUCGGCUAACUCCGUGCCAGCAGCCGCGGUAAUACGGAGGAUCCAAGCGUUAUCCGGAAUCAUUGGGUUUAAAGGGUCCGUAGGCGGUUUAAUAAGUCAGUGGUGAAAGCCCAUCGCUCAACGAUGGAACGGCCAUUGAUACUGUUAGACUUGAAUUACAAGGAAGUAACUAGAAUAUGUAGUGUAGCGGUGAAAUGCUUAGAGAUUACAUGGAAUACCAAUUGCGAAGGCAGGUUACUACUUGUGGAUUGACGCUGAUGGACGAAAGCGUGGGGAGCGAAC
RNAcentral lists this ribosomal RNA (420 nucleotides) under uncultured bacterium. RNAcentral's name for it is "bacterial SSU rRNA". It matches the Rfam family "Bacterial small subunit ribosomal RNA", at positions 356 to 773 of the family's 1533-position model. The record is from RNAcentral.